Misgurnus anguillicaudatus (oriental weatherfish) is the source of this 1867-nucleotide non-coding RNA. Lineage: Eukaryota; Metazoa; Chordata; Actinopteri; Cypriniformes; Cobitidae. The record is from RefSeq and is a predicted model, not a curated record.
CUCCAGAAAAGUAUCUUGGAAUAGGAAGCUGUCCUAUUCGAAGCAGACAAAUUAUGCCAGGAGGACCACUUUGAUUGCCCAGCGUGCAGCCCAGACAUGCUUGCAGUAUCUGCUGAUGGAAACAGUAAGCACUACGGAUUCAAGAGUUCAGCAAGAUCGGAGGAAAAAGCCAUCUUUGAUGGCGUGUUCAUCGCGAAUGAUGAUGACAUCGCAAGAAUGUCAUCAACUUCAAUGAAAGCAUUGGCGUGUCAUAGCUGAAGUUCGCUUCCAUACUCCCCACCACCACCAUCAGGUUGUUCCCUGUUCUUUUGUCCGGGGGUAGGCUCCGCCCCUGUCUUCAACUUCAGGCAGGAUCUGCCGGACUACAGCUAGAUCCUGACGAAAGGCGGGGUAUACGCCAAAAGAAUCUCAUGAGACUCAAGCAUCUAUUUUAUUUGAGACUGAUUUAUACAUGUCAUUCAAACAUUCACUUGCCUUCUGAGUCUUUAUGGUAGAACUAUAUUUCCCAAUAAAACACCACGUCCUAAAGAGGACUUUGUUUAAACAAGUUCGGACUGUUAACCGUCUGUCAUGUUUUAGGUCUCUGGAAGAAGUGACUGUAGAGGGCAAUGGUCAGUGGCACGUGAAACGUCUCAAAAGUCCUCAGGAAAAAACAGACAAGGAGGGCCUGGAACUCACUAUGUGUCAUCAUGGAGUUCUCCUUCGUGCCCUCAAUAGGUUCAGGGGGCCGACCCCCUGUACCUCCAAAAGCAAAUGGCCUGUAAACCAGUUACAUUUUUUGCAAUGAAUGUGGUAUGCAAGUACUGGCCUUUCCUCCAGAGAGUGACAGAUAAAUACCCUGAGCUUCACGAUCUCCUCACCAUAAGGCCAUUUCUUUCUGUUUUUCAGCUUUUUCACCUGCUGCAAUGAUGAUGCCUUUUCCCACAUUUUCCUGUGAUUAGCUUUCUCAAACAAGCUAAGGUGUUCAGCCAGUGUGGUUCUUUACUUUUUUCAGUGCCAUUCCCUUUCCUAUGCCAAAUAGACCAGAUGUAGAAUCACAGCCUAAAAUAACAUGGAUAAAGAGGAGAUUGUCACACACCUUGGGACCCAGUAAAUCCUUUGUCUAAUUUUUGUGCCAUAUCUGUCUUGUUUUUGUUGCUUUCUUUGGUUGUGGUGCCAGAAACAACUCCUGUGCAUUCAGAUCAGCAUGAUGCCACAAGAGUACUAACAAGUCUGUGUCAUCACCUACUAUGACUGUGUUUUUUGUUCUUGCAGAGGCAAUUGCAGUUUAGACAACCCAUCCCUCUCAAGUUUAUCACUGAGAUAAACCAUGAACCGCUGAUUGUUUUCCUUAUUGUUAAGGAAAUGUUCAUUUUUGGGUUGGAUGAUCAUGUCACCAGAGAAGCGUACAGUCACACCGGGAGUAACACCUGUUCGACGCAGUUGAGUGGCGUCUUUUAUUGUUGGUUCUUUUUUGUAGUCAUCAAAGACUAUGACAGUAGGUGUACCAUAUUUCUGUGUAACAUAUCUGACAUACAUUUCACAGACGCGGUCAUAUGUGGACCCUUUUGGCCAUGGCAGACGAUGUAGUAUUGCACCCCCAUCAAGGACAUGCUGGACAUCACUGCUGGGUUGUCUUUGCUGCUGCUCAAUAGAUUUCCAGAGGACAUCGGCAAGAAUUGCCUUGUUUGCCUGUAGGGGGAGGUAGGAUGAUUAAAACAAAGCGGGUGACUGCAGAGUUCAUACUUGAACAGAGAUGGCAAAUACUUUAUUCAUACAGGAAUUUUUAAACAUAUUUGUGUGCCCUGACAAACAAUGUUAUUCUGUUAGGUGAUUUUAAUAUUCACGCUGAUCGUACGACUUGCACACUUACGAAGGACUUUUUAAA